This is a small RNA of Psychrobacillus sp. FJAT-21963, 67 nucleotides long. It matches the Rfam family "Bacillaceae-1 RNA". NCBI's taxonomy places the organism in Bacteria, Bacillati, Bacillota, Bacilli, Caryophanales, Bacillaceae. The record is from Rfam.
UAGAGAGGAAGGAAGGCUAAGGCCGCCUCUUCCUGAGGCAACGCCUUCAUGACCAACAUCGUGUUGG